Molecule: ribosomal RNA, 253 nt
Filed under: uncultured bacterium
Lineage: Bacteria
Description: partial 16S ribosomal RNA
Rfam family: Bacterial small subunit ribosomal RNA
Source: RNAcentral
GACGGGGGAUGCAAGCGUUAUCCGGAAUCACUGGGCGUAAAGCGUCUGUAGGUGGUGAUGCAAGUCACUGGUGCAAAACUCCGGCUCAACCGGAGGAAAGCCAGUGAAACGGCAUGACUAGAGUGUGGGAGAGGUAGAAGGAAUUCCCUGAGUAGCGGUGAAAUGCGUAGAUACAGGGAAGAACACCGGAGGCGAAAGCGUUCUACUGGAACACAACUGACACUGAGAGACGAAAGCUAGGGGAGCGAAUUGG